GAUGAACGCUGGCGGUGUGACCUAAUACAUAGCAAGUCGAACGGGCUCUUCGGAGCUAGUGGCGGACGGGUGAGUAACACGUUGGUACCUACCCCUAAGUGGGGAAUAACUGCCCGAAAGGGUGGCUAAUACCGCAUAAUCCCGCAAGGGUAAAGCAGUAAUGCGCUUAGGGAGGGGCCUGCGUCUGAUUAGCUAGUUGGUGAGGUAAUUGCUCACCAAGGCGACGAUCAGUAGCNGGAUCGAGAGGUUGACCAGCCACACUGGGACUGAGAUACGGCCCAGACUCCUACGGGAGGCAGCAGUAAGGAAUCUUCCACAAUGGACGAAAGUCU
This 332-nucleotide ribosomal RNA is filed under the name uncultured bacterium. RNAcentral describes it as "bacterial SSU rRNA". It matches the Rfam family "Bacterial small subunit ribosomal RNA", at positions 28 to 384 of the family's 1533-position model. The record is from RNAcentral.